Molecule: ribosomal RNA, 252 nt
Filed under: uncultured bacterium
Lineage: Bacteria
Description: partial 16S ribosomal RNA
Rfam family: Bacterial small subunit ribosomal RNA
Source: RNAcentral
UACGUAGGAUGCAAGCGUUGUCCGGAAUUACUGGGCGUAAAGGGCGCGCAGGUGGCAUUACAAGUCUGAUGUGAAAUCUCCCGGCUUACUGGGAGGGGCCAUUGGGAACUGUAGAGCUGGAGUGCAGGAGAGGCUAACGGAAUUCCCGGUGUAGUGGUGAAAUGCGUAGAUAUCGGGAGGAACACCAGUGGCGAAGGCGGUUCUCUGGGCAUUACCUGACGCUGAGGAGCGAAAGUGUGGGGAGCGAACAGG